This 600-nucleotide long non-coding RNA is filed under the name Phoenix dactylifera (date palm). RNAcentral describes it as "long non-coding RNA (PDAC_LNC020882)". The record is from RNAcentral. Lineage: Eukaryota; Viridiplantae; Streptophyta; Magnoliopsida; Arecales; Arecaceae.
GCCUGUCUGGGCCCAAUAAUUACAAUAUGAAUGUUUGUAUCAUUAGAUAUGUAGUUGCAUUUGCCGCGGAUACUUCAAAGUUAAGAUCAAAUCAAACAUCUUGGAAUCCAUUCUUUACCAUUGUAUGCUGCAAAAAUAAAACAAACUCAACUACCAUGAAAAAUAUCACAAUUCUAAUAAUAAAAUCUUCAGUGAGUAAUAAAAUUGAUACUAGAAUAUUAAUUAUAAUAGUCAUUAUUGGAAAAUAUAUAAUAAAAAGCAUCACAACAUUAAUUAUUUCGCUUAUCUAUAUAAUUCACAAAAUGACAAUUAUAUGAUUGGUCAAUAAAAUACAAAUCCUGUUGGAUACAUAUAUAGUGGUACUUAAUUAAUUAAUUAGUUAUGCAUGUCAAUAACGUAAAGAAGAUCCAUGUAGCUUCUGUGACAUAUCUUGAAUUAUAAUUUUGUUUCAUUACGUUUCAAUUGUGCUAUUACCUAAUGUUUCCCCUCUCCGUGGGAGGAAUUUCUACUUUUGAUUUUUUUUUCCUCCCCUUAGAAAUUUUUAAGAUUGCUGCAAUUCAGGUUUAAUUCUAUCACCUUGAGAGUCACAAUUGUUGAGAA